GUGCUCGCUUCGGCACACAUAUAUUAAAAUUGAAAUGAUACAGAGAAGAUUAGUGUGGUCCCUGCACAAGGAUGACACACAAAUUUGUGAAGCGUUUCAUAUUAAA
Small nuclear RNA from Myotis daubentonii (Daubenton's bat), 106 nucleotides. NCBI's taxonomy places the organism in Eukaryota, Metazoa, Chordata, Mammalia, Chiroptera, Vespertilionidae. The record is from RefSeq and is a predicted model, not a curated record.